Molecule: non-coding RNA, 122 nt
Filed under: uncultured Anaeromassilibacillus sp.
Lineage: Bacteria; Bacillati; Bacillota; Clostridia; Eubacteriales; Acutalibacteraceae
Description: FMN riboswitch (RFN element)
Rfam family: FMN riboswitch aptamer (RFN element)
About the family: The RFN element is a highly conserved domain that is found frequently in the 5'-untranslated regions of prokaryotic mRNAs that encode for flavin mononucleotide (FMN) biosynthesis and transport proteins. This element is a metabolite-dependent riboswitch that directly binds FMN in the absence of proteins.
Source: RNAcentral
UGUCUUCGGGGCGGGGUGCAAUUCCCCACCGGCGGUAAUGCGGCGUUAGCCGACAAGCCCGCGAGCGAAAGCUGAUUUUGGUGAGAUCCCAAAGCCGACGGUAUAGUCCGGAUGGAAGAAGA